AGGAGAGUUUGAUCCUGGCUCAGAACGAACGCUGGCGGCGCGUCUUAACCAUGCAAGUCGAACGGCAAGGCGGGAGCUUGCUCCUGCCCUAGAGUGGCGGACUGGUGAGUAACACGUGGGUGACGAACCCUGCUGACGGGGAUAGCCGCUAGAAAUAGCGGAUAAUACCGGAUACGGCCAUAUAUGUUAGAGGUAUAUGGGGAAAGGGAGCUUAGGCUCCGCAGCAGGAUCGGCCCGCGGCCCAUUAGCCAGUUGGCGGGGUAAAAGCCCACCAAAGCGACGAUGGGUAUCCGGCCUGAGAGGGUGAACGGACACAUUGGGACUGAGAUACGGCCCAGACUCCUACGGGAGGCAGCAGGUAAGAAUAUUCCGCAAUGGACGAAAGUCUGACGGAGCGACGCCGCGUGGAUGAUGAAGGCCGAAAGGUUGUAAAAUCCUUUUGUACCGGGAGAAUAAGGAGGACAGGUAAUGGUCCUCUGGUGACGGUACGGUACGAAUAAGCAACGGCUAAUUACGUGCCAGCAGCCGCGGUAACACGUAAGUUGCGAGCGUUGUUCGGAAUUAUUGGGCGUAAAGGGCAUGUAGGCGGACCGGCAAGCUUGGCGUGAAAUCCACGGGCUCAACCCGUGAACUGCGUUGAGAACUACCGGACUUGAGUCGCUGAAGCGCAACCAGAAUUCCAGGUGUAGGGGUGAAAUCUGUAGAUAUCUGGAAGAAUACCAAUGGCGAAGGCAGGUUGCGGGCAGACGACUGACGCUGAGGUGCGAAGGUGCGGGGAGCAAACAGGAUUAGAUACCCUGGUAGUCCCCU
RNAcentral lists this ribosomal RNA (810 nucleotides) under uncultured Spirochaetota bacterium. RNAcentral describes it as "bacterial SSU rRNA". It matches the Rfam family "Bacterial small subunit ribosomal RNA", at positions 1 to 799 of the family's 1533-position model. The record is from RNAcentral. Lineage: Bacteria; Pseudomonadati; Spirochaetota.